Dreissena polymorpha is the source of this 436-nucleotide long non-coding RNA. RefSeq lists it as uncharacterized. The record is from RefSeq and is a predicted model, not a curated record. Lineage: Eukaryota; Metazoa; Mollusca; Bivalvia; Myida; Dreissenidae. The transcript is spliced from 3 exons.
UACAGUUUUGACAGUGCAACAGAUGCUUAACUGAGCCAGCUUUCAUAUUUAGUACAAUCAUGCAUAUAACAAGCUUUAUCACCUCAUAUUAUUCAUAGAAAUACACUUAAAAUACAUAAAUGCAUGUUUUUUUCUUCAUUGUAUAUCUAUUUCUAUUGGGUAUUUUGACUUUUUCAGGUAGAGGAAUGUCUGCAACUAAGCCGAGGGCCACUGGAUAAGGGUUGUUGAUGGUAAAACAGAUUGGAGACUACAUAAGACUUUGACAGAUGGCGGGAAACCCUCAUGAACUGGAUAGAAGCCGGCAAAAUGGCAUGCUGAGCCUUACGCAGAGUUGUAUGUGAGAGCAAGGAACGACAACUCUGCGUGGAGAUUGGGCGGCGACGUCCCUGCAGAGACGAGGAUUUUUCGACGUUUUAUACCCUUUAUAACUUGUAUU